UGUCCCUUCCCUUUUAUAAUAUUCUAACAAAACUUCUUUCUUUCCCUUUGAAGCAGGGGUGUCUCUUGGUUCAUAAGAGAUGGUUUAUAAAUAACACCUACUAUUUUGAACAGAAAAUUUUAAGAGGCAACCCAAUUCCGUCAUUCCAACUGGAAGAAGUAUGGGGACAGAGACAGGAUCUAACACACAUUUGCAAAAAAGCAUGCUGUAUAUAAUGGACUGAAAACAGACAGAAGUGGAAACAGGGAGUCCUGAUGUCUUCUGAAUGUACUUCUUCGUCCCCCAAAUAUUAAUACUCUUUUUCACCAAAAUUAGAAACCACUGAGUGAACGCUAUUGGUAUCAAUAACAAGGAAAAUCUGUGACUGUGGCUGCUCAGUGCUCAGUAAAGGCAAUCUUCUGGCAUGAAACAAGGCCAGAAGUCAGUUAAAAAGAAUGAUGCAAAAUUUCUUAAAAACCUCGCCAGAGAAUGAACAUGAAAAAUAGAGGGCAAAAUAACAUUGUCAAAUUUGCUUUCCAUUUUAGAACUCAAGGCAAGACAAAAGUCACCUUGGGAAUAGUAGACAAUGUUUCCAUUGCUUUUCACUAAUAUGGCAGAAAAAAAUUAAUGUUUCAGGCAUUCAAGAGUGACAAUUGUCUUUCAGACAGUUGGAAAGGACUUGAAAAAAACAUUUGUUGGAAUAAAUGGAAUGUGCCUUGGCUUCUGUGGUCAAAAUUUCUGGGACUCAGCUGAAACAAGAUUCUGGCUUAAGACUUAUAUGGUUUUCAUCACCCUAUAAACAUUAACAUUAUUGAUGCAGAUCUGUCGCUUGAAAUAUUUUACCCAUAUCCUCCACUGCAAGGAAUUUUCUUUUUACCCAUUCAUCUCUAGUGACAAAUUUGUGGCACUUACAAAUUUAAAAGGCUGUCAAAAUCUAAUAAUGAAACCUUGGGGGGAGUCAUAUGGGGGCACAGAUCAGAAAGAACCAAAAUUAAUUUCAGAGGAUUUACUACAUAGGUUAGGGGUCACCAUAAGGUGAAUUUCACUCUACAAUGUGAAAUCUACAGAAGCAAUACCUUCCCAGAAGUAAAGAAGUGGUAGAAAAGGAAGUAGUGCUAGUCAAGGCAUGGAACAAAGUGAGAAACUCGUUACAGAAAGCAAUGCAUAGACAGCAUAGAAAACCACAUGUCGUCAGUGACUUGAAACCAUGCCAUACUUGUUUUAAUAAUGGCUAGUUCUAAAAAUCAGAUAUACUUUUCAACUAUUGAUAGCUCACCUGGGAAACUAUCCAUCUUAACAGGAAUUGAAUUUAAAGGCUUGAGUUCUACAAAUCUUCCCUAGAAAGUGUAACAAAAAUAGAAAGAUAAUUUAAAAAGAAAAAAAGGCCGGGACAUUCCCCCCUGCCUAAACCUCCAUGGUACCUGGUACUAGAGAAAGUCCAGUGGCUGGGAACAUGUGUUCCUCAAGGCCUUAGUCUAGGUGUCUUGAGGAAGGAAAGUCAGAAGGAAGAGGCUGCAGGCUGGUACAUCACGCAGAGGACACAGAUGAGGAAGGUGCUCAUGAACCAGGCGGAACCUCUGGAGAAGCUCUGGCCUGGGAUACGCCAGAGACCAUACCGGAAUAAGACCUGGGGCAUUCAUUCUGAGUCAGACUAUAAAACAGUUGCCUUCUGUGAGAGGUAAAAAUUAACGUGCCAGGACUCUGGGCAGGCUGAUUUCACAUAAAAAGGAGAUGGUUCAGGACAGCA
Molecule: long non-coding RNA, 1726 nt
Organism: Prionailurus viverrinus (fishing cat)
Lineage: Eukaryota; Metazoa; Chordata; Mammalia; Carnivora; Felidae
Exons: 3
Source: RefSeq, a predicted model, not a curated record